This 1228-nucleotide long non-coding RNA is filed under the name Callithrix jacchus (white-tufted-ear marmoset). RNAcentral describes it as "lncRNA (ENSCJAG00000073548.1)". The record is from RNAcentral. Lineage: Eukaryota; Metazoa; Chordata; Mammalia; Primates; Cebidae.
UCUAUUUCCCUGCACAGAGUGGAGUGAACAGCAUUAGCACACAACUGGCCAAGGGCCUGGAAAGAGGAUGUUUGUGCAACACUAAUAGAAGCUUCUGUGUAACAUCACAGUGUUCUCAGCAUUUCCUCGGGCAGAAGCCACAUCCUGGAAACAAGUCGUGUACAGGUACAUGAAGAUGUAGCUGGCAACGUCUCUGUUUGUUCCAUUGAAAGCACAAAAAGCACAGGUCCUGAGGUCAGGAGGACUGUGUGCUGGUCCUGGUUCUGCCUGUAAAUGCUUAGGUGACUUUGGCCAAGUCCCUUCUCCUGGGGACUCAGUUUUUCCAUUUUAAAAAUAGGAAUAAUAAUUUUCUCCCAUACAAUGGUUAUGAGGGUUGAAUUUGUUAACAUUUGUAAAAUGCUUUAAAAAGCAUCCGUUGUGUUUUUAACCCAAAAAGUGUCACUAAUCUUUACAGUAACCUUUUUAGAUAGGCAUUCUCUAGAGGAAUCUAAGGCUCAGAUAGUCAGUGAUGUGUUCAAGGUAAUAUACCCGGCCAUCACCCCACUUUUCCACUGGCACCAGGGCCAGGUCAGCUAUAAAAUGACUUCCAAUUCUGACAUUUAGAGAUUCCAUCUUUAUAAACUGACACCUUUGCCUGGAUUACGUGUGUCCCUGAGUUCUGGUGGCACCAGCUAGAUGCAGGAAAGGUUCACUCGCAAGGGGAUCUCCAAUUCUGUUGGUAAUGUGAAAGACCAUUUUCAGCACUGGCAUCUUGCUCUGUGUUUGUCGUGGCCUUGGAGGCUCUGACAGACCCUGACUAUGUAACCUAGAGCUACUGGGCCUCCUUUGCAUUAAUGACGUGGAGUCUGGUUCUUCCAGCUCUGCAGCAAUUCAAAUACAUUCUGAGGUUGCCAAAAUAAAUGUCGAAUCCUGAUGCUCUAUUUGUAGUCCCUGUGUAGGUCAACAUCCCACAGCUUUCCAAGCUACUACAAAUAUUACUGCUUGCUCCUCCCUUGUCCUCCUGUGUAAUUGAUCACCGAUCCUGUCUUCAAGGUCCCCAUCUCUCAAGAACAUUGCACCUGACCAGACUGAGAGCCAGUGUGAACAUGAGCCCCAAACUAAGGCUUUUGGAACAACAAGGAACAGCAAAAACCAGUCUCUCCGACACAACAUAUCUACAACCACACGAUCUUUGACAAACCUGACAAAAACAAGCAAUGAGGAAAGGAUUCCCUGUUUAAUAAAUGAU